GGAUUGUGGCUCAGUGGUAAAGUGCUUGCCUAGCAUGUGUGAAGCACUGGGUUCAAUUCUCAGCACCA
This 68-nucleotide transfer RNA is filed under the name Marmota monax (woodchuck). Its description in RNAcentral is "tRNA.Ala". The record is from RNAcentral. Lineage: Eukaryota; Metazoa; Chordata; Mammalia; Rodentia; Sciuridae.